AAAGUUAAUAUGGUUAUUCUGAGUGUUUGCUAAGCACAUUGGAUUUGAGUUUAAUUCUCAAAUAAUUUUG
Molecule: non-coding RNA, 70 nt
Organism: Styela clava
Lineage: Eukaryota; Metazoa; Chordata; Ascidiacea; Stolidobranchia; Styelidae
Source: the annotation of a RefSeq genome assembly